Molecule: ribosomal RNA, 487 nt
Filed under: uncultured bacterium
Lineage: Bacteria
Description: bacterial SSU rRNA
Rfam family: Bacterial small subunit ribosomal RNA
Source: RNAcentral
GACGAACGCUGGCGGCGUGCCUAACACAUGCAAGUCGAGCGGGGUCCAUCCAGUGGCAACACUGGGGAAGACCUAGCGGCGAACGGGUGAGUAACACGUGAGGAACUUGCCCCGGAGUACGGGAUAACUCGAGGAAACUCGAGCUAAUACCGUAUGCCCUCUUCUGGUCGCAUGGCCGGAUGAGGAAAGAUUCAUCGCUCCGGGAGAGCCUCGCGGCCUAUCAGCUAGUUGGUGGGGUAACGGCCCACCAAGGCAUCGACGGGUAGCUGGUCUGAGAGGACGAUCAGCCACACUGGGACUGAGACACGGCCCAGACUCCUACGGGAGGCAGCAGUGGGGAAUCUUGCGCAAUGGGCGAAAGCCUGACGCAGCAACGCCGCGUGCGGGAUGAAGGCCUUCGGGUUGUAAACCGCUUCAGCAGGGAAGAAACUGACGGUACCUGCAGAAGAAGACCCCGGCCAACUACGUAGCCAGCAGCCGCGGUAAU